This 670-nucleotide ribosomal RNA is filed under the name Lentinus sajor-caju. Its description in RNAcentral is "eukaryotic LSU rRNA". The stretch from base 259 to 412 matches the Rfam family "5.8S ribosomal RNA". Lineage: Eukaryota; Fungi; Basidiomycota; Agaricomycetes; Polyporales; Polyporaceae. The record is from RNAcentral.
CGGGUUGUAGCUGCGGAGAUCAUUAAUGAAUUCACUAUGGAGUUGUUGCUGGCCUCUAGGGGCAUGUGCACGCUUCACUAGUCUUUCAACCACCUGUGAACUUUUGAUAGAUCUGUGAAGUCGUCCUUCAAGUCGUCAGACUUGGUUUGCUGGGAUUUAAACGUCUCGGUGUGACAACGCAGUCUAUUUACUUAACACACCCCAAAUGUAUGUCUACGAAUGUCAUUUAAUGGGCCUUGUGCCUAUAAACCAUAAUACAACUUUCAACAACGGAUCUCUUGGCUCUCGCAUCGAUGAAGAACGCAGCGAAAUGCGAUAAGUAAUGUGAAUUGCAGAAUUCAGUGAAUCAUCGAAUCUUUGAACGCACCUUGCGCCCCUUGGUAUUCCGAGGGGCAUGCCUGUUUGAGUGUCAUUAAAUUCUCAAACUCACAUUUAUUUGUGAUGUUUGGAUUGUUGGGGGUUGCUGGCUGUAACAAGUCGGCUCCUCUUAAAUGCAUUAGCAGGACUUCUCAUUGCCUCUGCGCAUGAUGUGAUAAUUAUCACUCAUCAAUAGCACGCAUGAAUAGAGUCCAGCUCUCUAAUCGUCCGCAAGGACAAUUUGACAAUUUGACCUCAAAUCAGGUAGGACUACCCGCUGAACUUAAGCAUAUCAUACCGGGGAGAGGACGUA